AGUUAAUGAACUUGUAUAAGUAUAUAUUUUGAAAAUAUAAAAAAGGGUUACACUCCCUAUUAACUU
This 66-nucleotide transfer RNA is filed under the name Staphylinoidea sp. 11 KM-2017. RNAcentral describes it as "tRNA-Ser". Lineage: Eukaryota; Metazoa; Arthropoda; Insecta; Coleoptera. The record is from RNAcentral.